UCAGUCUGAAGUUGGCUACCGAGUGUUUCUGGUGAUUAUUUAAGUGGAGUUCAGACAAAGGCAAGAGAAGAUUCAGCUGACAAGCUAAAUGGCCUCCUGGGUUUGUACAAGCCAGUUGUUCCUGGUUGUUCUGUUCAGCUGGAGUGUCAACACUGUUCCUGUUCAAAAUGACUGGGGACAGUCUCCUGGGAGAACUGGGAAGGUGAAUCCUGGACUCCAAAAUGCUAAGACUGAAGGAUCCCAUCCAAUGUCUUCUAAUCCAGCUGGUACUUCUGUAUCCUGGGUGGUUGCUAGACCCCAACGCAAAAGCUCACUUGUGCGACCCUCCACUCAAAUACGACCUGCGGCCUCUCUAGUGCCUAACCCUCCCAAACUCCUUCCUCCUCUGAAGCCAGAAGGACCUG
This is a long non-coding RNA of Poecilia latipinna (sailfin molly), 404 nucleotides long. RefSeq lists it as uncharacterized. The transcript has 3 exons. NCBI's taxonomy places the organism in Eukaryota, Metazoa, Chordata, Actinopteri, Cyprinodontiformes, Poeciliidae. The record is from RefSeq and is a predicted model, not a curated record.